Perca fluviatilis (European perch) is the source of this 410-nucleotide long non-coding RNA. RefSeq lists it as uncharacterized. The record is from RefSeq and is a predicted model, not a curated record. Lineage: Eukaryota; Metazoa; Chordata; Actinopteri; Perciformes; Percidae. The transcript is spliced from 3 exons.
ACCACCACCUGAUGUUUGCUGAUUUAAAUGAUUCCCGCAGGGAUCAUAUGCACACACAGGACCAGAACCCACUGAACAAAGGAACUUUUCUGCAACUCAACAUUUGACUUUUACAGCUCAAGAAUGGAACGAGGAUUGAUCCUGUUGGUUGCUGCAUUGGGGGUUUAUGUGGCAUCGGGUGUCCAAGGAACGUCUUACUUGUCAUUUUCCAAUAAUACACAGGUGAACAUCUCUCAAAAUGGUUGUGGAGUCACUAAACUGUGUGUGCAGACACCAGGCAACUGUGAUCUAACUGGAAACACCAGCUGUCUGUUUGCAUCUGUGAUCGCCAACGGCUCUGCAAUGUCCUUCCAACUCCGCGGAGACUCCGUGGGAUACAUCGCACUGGGACUCACUGUGAAUGCUUCACA